GAUGAACGCUAGCGGCAGGCUUAACACAUGCAAGUCGAGGGGCAGCAUGAGGGUUAGCAAUAACCCUUGAUGGCGACCGGCGCAAGGGUGCGUAACGCGUGAGCAACUUGCCCGUUUCAGGGGGAUAACCGGUGGAAACGCCGACUAAUACCCCAUAGCAUCAGUUGAAGGCAUCUUCUACUGAUUAAAGAAUUUCGGAAACGGAUAGGCUCGCGUGACAUUAGCUAGAUGGCGGGGUAACGGCCCACCAUGGCGACGAUGUCUAGGGGUUCUGAGAGGAAGGUCCCCCACAUUGGAACUGAGACACGGUCCAAACUCCUACGGGAGGCAGCAGUGAGGAAUAUUGGUCAAUGGACGGAAGUCUGAACCAGCCAAGUCGCGUGAAGGAUGAAGGUUCUAUGGAUUGUAAACUUCUUUGUCUGAGGUAAAAAGGCCACGUGUGGCUUCUUGCAAGUAUCAGACGAAUAAGCAUCGGCUAACUCCGUGCCAGCAGCCGACGG
Molecule: ribosomal RNA, 500 nt
Filed under: uncultured bacterium
Lineage: Bacteria
Description: bacterial SSU rRNA
Rfam family: Bacterial small subunit ribosomal RNA
Source: RNAcentral